GUGGGGAAUCUUGCGCAAUGGACGAAAGUCUGACGCAGCGACGCCGCGUGGGUGACGAAGGCCUUCGGGUUGUAAAGCCCUGUGGGGGGAGACGAACCGGCACGUAGCUAACAUCUACGGGUCUUGACGGUAUCCCUUUAGCAAGCAUCGGCUAACUCUGUGCCAGCAGCCGCGGUAAGACAGAGGAUGCAAACGUUGCUCGGAGUUACUGGGCGUAAAGCGCGCGCAGGCGGUCUCGUAAGUCGGGUGUGAAAUCCCGGGGCUCAACCCUGGAAGUGCACUCGAUACUGCAAGACUGGAGUACUGGAGGGGAGAGCGGAAUUCCCGGUGUAGAGGUGAAAUUCGUAGAUAUCGGGAGGAACACCAGUGGCGAAGGCGGCUCUCUGGACAGAUACUGACGCUGAGGCGCGAAAGCGUGGGAAGCAAACAGGAUUAGAAACCCCUGUAGUCC
RNAcentral lists this ribosomal RNA (451 nucleotides) under uncultured bacterium. Its description in RNAcentral is "bacterial SSU rRNA". It matches the Rfam family "Bacterial small subunit ribosomal RNA", at positions 354 to 796 of the family's 1533-position model. The record is from RNAcentral.